CUACUUUUAAAUCAUUUGACCAAUUUAUUAAUGCUACACGAUUGCUCAAGCUAUACAAUGCUCUUAACUUAUAUUAUUGUUUACAUGUAUUACCAAUGUUAUUUCAACUGAUCGGGCGGAGCUUACGUUUUAAUUUGCAUGAGGACAGUCGAUUUGAAAAUAUGUGUGAUUACGAUGAUUGCCGUUAUAGUUAUUACUGAUUUCUAAUCACCUAUCAUUGACCUCAAAGGAAUUUACAAAAGAAUGACUGGGCAAUGCAUUGAUGAGUUUAUCCUAAAACACCUAUCUAUAGAUGGACUGGUUUAUUAUGAUCGAUCAUGAGCAAACUGGAUAAACUCCGC
This 341-nucleotide long non-coding RNA is filed under the name Mytilus galloprovincialis (Mediterranean mussel). Lineage: Eukaryota; Metazoa; Mollusca; Bivalvia; Mytilida; Mytilidae. The record is from RNAcentral.